This 451-nucleotide ribosomal RNA is filed under the name Staphylococcus aureus. RNAcentral's name for it is "partial 23S ribosomal RNA". It matches the Rfam family "Bacterial large subunit ribosomal RNA", at positions 460 to 914 of the family's 2925-position model. Lineage: Bacteria; Bacillati; Bacillota; Bacilli; Caryophanales; Staphylococcaceae. The record is from RNAcentral.
CUAAGGCUAAAUACUCUCUAGUGACCGAUAGUGAACCAGUACCGUGAGGGAAAGGUGAAAAGCACCCCGGAAGGGGAGUGAAAUAGAACCUGAAACCGUGUGCUUACAAGUAGUCAGAGCCCGUUAAUGGGUGAUGGCGUGCCUUUUGUAGAAUGAACCGGCGAGUUACGAUUUGAUGCAAGGUUAAGCAGUAAAUGUGGAGCCGUAGCGAAAGCGAGUCUGAAUAGGGCGUUUAGUAUUUGGUCGUAGACCCGAAACCAGGUGAUCUACCCUUGGUCAGGUUGAAGUUCAGGUAACACUGAAUGGAGGACCGAACCGACUUACGUUGAAAAGUGAGCGGAUGAACUGAGGGUAGCGGAGAAAUUCCAAUCGAACCUGGAGAUAGCUGGUUCUCUCCGAAAUAGCUUUAGGGCUAGCCUCAAGUGAUGAUUAUUGGAGGUAGAGCACUGUU